GAGGUAGGGACAAUAUGUAACAAUAUACGGCCUUAUACGUCGUAUAAUUGGAAUGAGUACAAUUUAAAUCCCUUAACGAGGAACAAUUGGAGGGCAAGUCUGGUGCCAGCAGCCGCGGUAAUUCCAGCUCCAAUAGCGUAUAUUAAAGUUGUUGCAGUUAAAAAGCUCGUAGUUGGACCUUGGACCUGGACAGGCGGUCCGCCUCACGGCGAGUACUGUCUUGCUGGGUCUUUCCUCUUGGUGAUCUGUUGUUUCGGCAGCAGGGAACCAGGACCUUUACUUUGAAAAAAUUAGAGUGUUCAAAGCAGGCUCGACGCCGGAAUAUAUUAGCAUGGAAUAAUAAAAUAGGACGUGCGGUUCUAUUUUGUUGGUUUUUGGAAUCGCCGUAAUGAUUAAUAGGGACAGUCGGGGGCAUUAGUACUCACAUGCUAGAGGUGAAAUUCUUGGAUUUUGUGAAGACUAACUUCUGCGAAAGCAUUUGCCAAGGAUGUUUUCAUUAAUCAAGAACGAAGGUUAGGGUAUCGAAAACGAUUAGAUACCGUUGUAGUCUUAACAGUAAACUAUGCCGACUAGGGAUCGGUCGAUGUUAUCUUUUUGACUCGAUCGGCACCUUACGAGAAAUCAAAGUUUUUGGGUUCUGGGGGGAGUAUGGUC
Molecule: ribosomal RNA, 654 nt
Filed under: uncultured organism
Description: SSU rRNA
Rfam family: Eukaryotic small subunit ribosomal RNA
Source: RNAcentral